GAGGGCGGGGCGGUGGUGGGGCUGAGGCGGGGAGGGCGGUGGCGGUGGGGGCUGAGGCGGCUUCUGGAAGGUUCUGCAGGCUGCUGCCGGCCAGCGUCUGUGGCGCUGCUCUAGGCAGCUCCUGUGGCGUCCUGGCGCUGGUGCUGACCCUUGCCCAGGAACUUCUGAGGCUCCCUUUACUCCCUGCUGUCUGUGACAUAGAAGCUGCAGAGGAAACUGUCUCAUAAGCUAGCAGCAUAUUGAUUUUGGAGC
Molecule: long non-coding RNA, 252 nt
Filed under: Apteryx haastii (Great spotted kiwi)
Lineage: Eukaryota; Metazoa; Chordata; Aves; Apterygiformes; Apterygidae
Description: lncRNA (ENSAHAG00000010008.1)
Source: RNAcentral